GGCGCAAACUUGAAGUAGAGUGCAUUAGUAAGGCCAGAUGAUCGUAUUAAUCAACUCUACUUCAAAUUUGGGCCC
Non-coding RNA from Haemonchus contortus (barber pole worm), 75 nucleotides. Lineage: Eukaryota; Metazoa; Nematoda; Chromadorea; Rhabditida; Trichostrongylidae. The record is from Rfam.